RNAcentral lists this long non-coding RNA (207 nucleotides) under Mytilus galloprovincialis (Mediterranean mussel). The record is from RNAcentral. Lineage: Eukaryota; Metazoa; Mollusca; Bivalvia; Mytilida; Mytilidae.
GCCUCAUGUGGAGCAGGAUCUGCUUACCCGUCCGGAGCACCUGAGAUCACCCCUAGUUUUUGGUGGGGUUCGUGUUGUUUAUUCUUUAGUUUUCUAUGUUGUGUCAUAUGUACUAUUGUUUGUCUGUUUGUCCUUUUCAUUUUUAGCCAUGGCGUUGUCAGUUUAUUUUCGAUUUAUGAGUUUGACUGUCCCUCUGGUAUCUUUCGU